AUCGUGAACAUCACCAGGUUCUCUGUGGUGGUUCUGGGGCUGAUUCCUCUGCUCCUUGUCUGUCUCUGGAUGAGGAAGAAGAAGACUGUGAGCUCCACCUCUGAAGCGAAUGAACCCAUAGAGACUGUGGAGUUGGAGUCUGGUCCUGAUUAUAUCAACGUCUCAGACCUGAACAUGGUCUCUGCAGAACAGACAGAAGAACCAGAGGAUCAGGAGGACCUGGUCUGAAGAGGGAGACUGACCUGGAUGGAAACAGAAGGAAGUGAAGCAUUGAAGAGGAAACAUUUACCUUCAAAUAUGAGAGUUUCAUUGUUAGUGGCAGGUAGGAGUCAGCAGUCACAGACAGCAGGAGAUGUACAGGCAUGAGUAGAUUGCAACUUGUUAUACUGUAAAUAUAAACACAAUUAACCACAGUAAUGUGCAUGUGCUAACCACCAUCAUCCUGAAUGCCUAUCAUAUUUAUAGCAUUCCUUCAUUGUGUAUACAUGUUAUAGUCAAAAGGUUAUAAUAGUAGUAAAGUUGGGAAAAUAUAAAAUAAUGAAGACAAAAAAAGGAGAAGAAAUUAGAUUAUGUUUUUAUAAAGAAGGUGUAUACGUAUAUUUAAAUAUACGUAUACACAUAUACGCAUACAUCUGUACAAACCUACACACACACAAACACGGCCAAUAUUUAAUCAAUAUUUUCAAAUACUAUCUUUCUUGAUUCGUCUUUUUUUA
Molecule: long non-coding RNA, 716 nt
Organism: Trematomus bernacchii (emerald rockcod)
Lineage: Eukaryota; Metazoa; Chordata; Actinopteri; Perciformes; Nototheniidae
Exons: 4
Source: RefSeq, a predicted model, not a curated record